UACGGAGGAUCCGAGCGUUAUCCGGAUUUAUUGGGUUUAAAGGGUGCGCAGGCGGGAGAUUAAGUCGGCGGUGAAAUUUUGCAGCUCAACUGUAAAAGUGCCUUCGAAACUGGUUUCCUUGAGUGUGGAUGAAGUAGGCGGAAUUUGUGGCGUAGCUGUGAAAUGCAUAGAUAUCACGAGGAACUCCGAUUGCGCAGGCAGCUUACUAAACCAUAACUGACGCUCAAGCACGAAGGCGUGGGGAUCAAACAGGAUUAGAUACCCCU
RNAcentral lists this ribosomal RNA (266 nucleotides) under uncultured prokaryote. Its description in RNAcentral is "partial 16S ribosomal RNA". It matches the Rfam family "Bacterial small subunit ribosomal RNA", at positions 524 to 788 of the family's 1533-position model. The record is from RNAcentral.